RNAcentral lists this long non-coding RNA (1365 nucleotides) under Equus asinus (donkey). Its description in RNAcentral is "lncRNA (ENSEASG00005028994.1)". Lineage: Eukaryota; Metazoa; Chordata; Mammalia; Perissodactyla; Equidae. The record is from RNAcentral.
GGGAGAGGCGCUCAGCUUGACGUGGUAAAUGUGAUGUCCAUGUUGGAUGUCCCAGUGGAGACGUGGAACUGGCGGUUGGCGGUGAGUCAGGAGGGCACAGGGAGGCCUGGGCUGAGGUGUAAGCUUGGUGUCAUCAGCAAUGGCAACAUUUAAACCACAAGGUGCAAGGAGGGCACAUGCACGGCAGAGGCUGGACCCUGAGGAAGGAGACGGGGAAGGCGCGGCCAGUGGGGAAGGAGGAAAACCGGGUGAGGCGCCCGGAGGCCCAGCGGAGGCGGUGUUUCGGGGGACGGAAGAGGAGCGCCUGUGUCAGCUGCUGCUGGUGGGAAGCACACAGCGCUGACAAUCCACUUGCUAAGGUGGGAUUGAGGCGACCCUGACUUCGCUUGCAAGCCUGCCUGGAGCGAGUUUACGAGAGCGGGAGCAAAAGUGGAAAGAGGGUCUUCCUAUUCAAUGUGGGAGGAAGUAUGAACACCAGGAGGGAAAUCAUAAGGGCGUCUACCGUGGUUUGUCCCCUGGUCUCCAAUAAGCCACGUUCUUUCACAUGAAUUCUUUAGGGUUCCCUGGUGACCCUGAAGUAUGGUGCCCUAGAGGAAAGACAGGGGAAUGGUGAGUCCUUUCCUCUUCACUGGUGGCCUCCGUUACAGCAGCGACCUGGCCCUUCCUGGAUUUGUGGCCCACAUCAAGGCAGGAGAGAGAGAAGAAGGCUGAGGAAGGUGACAGCAGACGUGGUUUCCAAGGAAACAGGAAGCAAUCACCAGGCCCUCUGAGGAUCAUUAUUUCUUUGUCCUGCUAAAAGCCAGAUGCUCCCACCUUCUAAGCCAGCUCAGACGGUUGAGCAGGCACCAAAAUGGGUCCCCAGGGAGGAGACAAGGGGCUGGGGGAGCCUAUGGAGGGGGCGCUACUCCCUCUGCUGGACCCCCUUCCUCUCACGAGGCCUCCCCUUCCUCACAAAGACAUGCCCUUCCCCCAAAUCUCCUUAGGCCGCGAGGGGAGCCUAGUGUUUGAUGAGGAAUACACGGGAAGUUGUCUUCUCUGGAGCUCCAAGCACAGGACGUCUUUGCUCGGAGUCUGUCCCGGGAUUCAUCGGCGAGGAUUCCAGCCUGUGGACCCGCCUGGUCCCGGGUGGAGGGAUGGCUGGCCUGAGUGCCGAAUGCUCCAGAAAUAAACCGAGCAAUGACACUGUGUCCAGCGCUCAGACACCGUGAUCUGAGGUGGCCGAGGUGCAAGACCUCCCUGGAGCCGUCAAGAAUCACCAUCUAAGGGGCACUUCUUUGGGGCCACACGUGACACGGGGCGGGCUGGAGCUGUAGGCACGGGUUCUCACAACCCCUCAGAGAACCCCCUGAAGGGGACGCUGUCUUC